Molecule: ribosomal RNA, 440 nt
Filed under: uncultured bacterium
Lineage: Bacteria
Description: partial 16S ribosomal RNA
Rfam family: Bacterial small subunit ribosomal RNA
Source: RNAcentral
CCUACGGGAGGCAGCAGUGGGGGAUAUUGCACAAUGGGGGAAACCCUGAUGCAGCGACGCCGCGUGGGUGAAGAAGUGAUUCGGUACGUAAAGCUCUGUCAGCAGGGAAGAAAAUGACGGUACCUGAAUAAGAAGCCCCGGCUAACUACGUGCCAGCAGCCGCGGUAAUACGUAGGGGGCAAGCGUUAUCCGGAUUUACUGGGUGUAAAGGGGGCGCAGACGGUGAGGCAAGGCAGGAGUGAAAGGCCGGGGCUUAACCCCGGGACUGCUCUGGAAACUGCGGGGCUAGAGUGCGGGAGGGGCAGGCGGAAUUCCUGGUGUAGCGGUGAAAUGCGUAGAUAUUAGGAGGAACACCGGUGGCGAAGGCGGCCUGCUGGACUGCAACUGACGUUGAGGCUCGAAAGCGUGGGGAGCAAACAGGAUUAGAUACCCUAGUAGUC